Molecule: non-coding RNA, 968 nt
Organism: Tetranychus urticae (two-spotted spider mite)
Lineage: Eukaryota; Metazoa; Arthropoda; Arachnida; Trombidiformes; Tetranychidae
Source: RefSeq, a predicted model, not a curated record
UAUCUUUGAUUAACAGAUGUAGUUUUUUCAUAUCUUACAUUAUUUUAUUUGUUGAACUUUUUUCUUUCGCAGCCAUAGUAACAGCAAAAGUAACGCAAGAUUAUUCAUUGAACAUUGUUUAUAUUUACAGGUGAUUCUAACAUUAAUUGGAUAGAAAAUAUUUUCCGCAAUUAUUACAUCAAUUCAAAGGUGUAAGGAAACAAGACACCGUAAGAUACAAGAAAGGUUUUUCAACAUUGAAUCAAGAUGUAGGAGUUAACCUGCUAUCAAGUUUAUUCAACUGCUCAUUUAACUGUCAAUGGUAAUUUAUUUUGAUUGUCAUCUUGUUUAUGCUUCUGUUUUUUUUCAUUUUGACGAGAUAAUGGUUUUCAUCUAAGCAAAGACCAUAUUCAACUUCAAUUCUUGUUCAUUCAAAAAUUCGGUUAAUAAGAAAUCUUUCUCAAAGCUAAUAAUGGUACGCAUAUUGGACACAGUUUGGUUUCCAUAUGAGCAAAAGAUAACACCAGUUUUGUUCAGCUAUUAAACCAGAAAAUUUUAUUGCCAAUCGGCAGAGCACACGCAGGGAACUUUCGAAAAAUAAGGAUCUUGGGUCGAAGUUCAACGCAGUUGCAAAAGUCGUAAAAACGACAAAUGGCCAUCAACAAAAUGAAGUCAGUCUACUGCUGCACCGAGAGUCAGUUCAAAGUUCAUACACAAGUUUGAAAAAGACUUUGGUUUUACUGGUAAAUCCAGAACAAAAUUCGGAUAGACUUGAACAAUUUGAUAAGCCAUCUUAAUUUAAUCCAAUGGCUAUAUGACUCAUCUGAAAAAUCAAUAGGAACCACGCGACUAGGAACUUGUCAAAUAUUGAUAAAUGUUGUUUCACACAAAGGCUUCAAUCAAUAGAUCUGACAAUUACAAACGAUGUAACUGAAUGGACCCAAUCUUGAAUAAAAAAUACAUCACCAACAUAUUGUUUCAUAUUGUAA